GCAAGUGUGCCUUGACCAUUCCCAGUAGGCACACCAUCUGACACAAGGUGAGUGAUUAUAUACUGCUUGAAUGCAUUUGUGAAUAAAUGAAUGAAUGCUUACAGAAAAGAAUGUGGAAUUUAUACUCAAUACUAGAGUCUCUACCCACUCCAGACAGAGGCAGGGUGAAUCAAAGAGUCAGAAUCAGGAAGAAAUAAGAGAAGAGCAGUUUGGUCUGGUCAUGCCCCUUUUUAUAGACUUAUCUUGACAAUGUAGACCAAACAGCCUUGCCACCCACCUCCCCAAUCCUUUCUGACACAUACACUCACCCAACCUACAGCCACAGCUCUAAAGUUAUCUAGAACCACUUUCCAACUAUACCUGGGGUCAAUUAGACCUAGGUGGAAACCACAAUGAACACAUUUGUGGCACAAACUUGGCCCUGGUUUCACACAGUUGUUCUCUCAGCUGAAAUUCUCCCCUAAC
RNAcentral lists this long non-coding RNA (465 nucleotides) under Marmota monax (woodchuck). The record is from RNAcentral. Lineage: Eukaryota; Metazoa; Chordata; Mammalia; Rodentia; Sciuridae.